UACGGGGGGGGCGAGCGUUGUUCGGAAUUACUGGGCGUAAAGGGCGCGUAGGCGGUCCGCUAAGUUGGAUGUGAAAACUCUGGGCUUAACCCAGAGCCUGCAUUCAAAACUGACGGGCUGGAGUUCUGGAGGGGAUAGCGGAAUUCCUGGUGUAGCGGUGAAAUGCGUAGAUAUCAGGAGGAACACCGGUGGCGAAGGCGGCUAUCUGGACAGAAACUGACGCUGAGGCGCGAAAGCUAGGGGAGCAAAC
This 250-nucleotide ribosomal RNA is filed under the name uncultured bacterium. RNAcentral's name for it is "partial 16S ribosomal RNA". It matches the Rfam family "Bacterial small subunit ribosomal RNA", at positions 524 to 773 of the family's 1533-position model. The record is from RNAcentral.